CUGGUUGAUCCUGCCAGACCCGACUGCUAUCAGAAUGAGAUUAAGCCAUGCGAGUCAACGUAGCAAUACGUGGCAUACGGCUCAGUAACACGUAGUCAACAUGCCCAGGGGACGUGGAUAACCUCGGGAAACUGAGGCUAAACCGCGAUAGACCAUAAUAUCUGGAAUGGUUUUUGAUCAAAAUCUAUAUGGCCCUUGGAUUGGACUGCGUCCGAUCAGGCUGUUGGUGAGGUAAUGGCCCACCAAACCUAUAACCGGUACGGGCUCUGAGAGGAGGAGCCCGGAGAUGGGUACUGAGACAAGGACCCAGGCCCUAUGGGGCGCAGCAGGCGCGAAACCUCUGCAAUAAGCGAAAGCCUGACAGGGUUACUCUGAGUGACUUUCGCUAAGAAAAUCUUUUGACAUCUGUAAAAAUGGUGUAGAAUAAGGGGUGGGCAAGUCUGGUGUCAGCCGCCGCGGUAAUACCAGCGCCCCGAGUGGUCGGGACGAUUAUUGGGCCUAAAGCAUCCGUAGCCGGUUUUACAAGUCCUCCGUUAAAUCCAACUGCUUAACAGAUGGGCUGCGGAGGAUACUAUAAAACUAGGAGGCAGGAGAGGCAAGCGGUACUCAGUGGGUAGGGGUAAAAUCCGUUGAUCCAUUGAAGACCACCAGUGGCGAAGGCGGCUUGCCAGAAUGCACUCGACGGUGAGGGAUGAAAGCUGGGGGAGCAAACCGGAUUAGAUACCCGGGUAGUCCCAGCUGUAAACGAUGCAGACUCGGUGAUGAACCAGCUUCAUGCUCAUUCAGUGCCGCAGGGAAGCCGUUAAAUCUGCCGCCUGGGGAGUACGG
This 828-nucleotide ribosomal RNA is filed under the name uncultured archaeon. RNAcentral describes it as "bacterial SSU rRNA". It matches the Rfam family "Archaeal small subunit ribosomal RNA", at positions 4 to 840 of the family's 1478-position model. The record is from RNAcentral.